RNAcentral lists this ribosomal RNA (405 nucleotides) under uncultured bacterium. Its description in RNAcentral is "bacterial SSU rRNA". It matches the Rfam family "Bacterial small subunit ribosomal RNA", at positions 28 to 426 of the family's 1533-position model. The record is from RNAcentral.
GACGAACGCUGGCGGCGUGCCUAACACAUGCAAGUCGAACGAGAUCCAUGGGAGCUUGCUCCCGGAAGAUCUAGUGGCGAACGGGUGAGUAACACGUGAGAAACCUGCCCUGGAGUGGGGAAUAACUCGGGGAAACUCGAGCUAAUACCGCAUACCCUCGGAUGGUCGCAUGGCCGACCGAGGAAAGAUUUUAUCGCUCUAGGAGGGUCUCGCGGCCUAUCAGCUAGUUGGUGGGGUAACGCCUACCAAGGCAACGACGGGUAGCUGGUUUGAGAGAACGAUCAGCCACACUGGGACUGAGACACGGCCCAGACUCCUACGGGAGGCAGCAGUGGGGAAUCUUGCGCAAUGGGCGAAAGCCUGACGCAGCAACGCCGCGUGCGGGAUGACGGCCUUCGUGGUUGU